This 428-nucleotide ribosomal RNA is filed under the name uncultured bacterium. RNAcentral describes it as "bacterial SSU rRNA". It matches the Rfam family "Bacterial small subunit ribosomal RNA", at positions 917 to 1344 of the family's 1533-position model. The record is from RNAcentral.
GGGCCCGCACAAGCGGUGGAGUAUGUGGUUUAAUUCGAUGCAACGCGAAGAACCUUACCAGGGUUUGACAUCCUGCGAAUCUCUUGGAAACGAGAGAGUGCCUUCGGGAACGCAGUGACAGGUGGUGCAUGGCUGUCGUCAGCUCGUGUCGUGAGAUGUUGGGUUAAGUCCCGCAACGAGCGCAACCCACGUCUUUAGUUGCCAGCACAUAAUGGUGGGGACUCUAGAGAGACUGCCGGUGCAAACCGUGAGGAAGGUGGGGAUGACGUCAAGUCAUCAUGCCCCUUACAUCCUGGGCUACACACGUACUACAAUGCUACGGACAAAGGGCAGCAAGUUCGCGAGGACAAGCAAAUCCCAUAAACCGUGGCUCAGUUCAGAUCGUAGGCUGCAACUCGCCUACGUGAAGGCGGAAUCGCUAGUAAUCG